UAUUUGGAGAUAUUCGUGUAUGUAACUAAUCAAAGGUUUAAAAGUUUUGGGCAGCUUUAAAAAUGUCUGAAUUAUGUACAAGAAUUUUGUGAAACCAUAGAAGAAAUGCUAAUGAAACAUGAGAGAAUACUUAGAUUUCAAGAGCCAAAUUUUAUUUUACAGUGAUGAAGAUGGACAGAGAACAUCCUGAUGAAAGACAAGAGUGAUUGAACAUGAGUGGAGAGGAAGGACUCAUUACAUACAAGUACCAGAUGCAAAUAUCAUCAAGUUCUAAUCAGCAUGGGAGAGCAUUGCUUGGGAAAUGUGUGCUCUAGCUCAGGGCACAGUACAGAACCUGGAAACUCUUCUCAUCCUUCAUACACUCUGAUCCAAAUAAACCUUGCUUACUUAAAAACAGAGCAAGACUCCCUCUCAGAAAAAAGAAAAAAAAGUAAAUAAAAAGUAAAAAAAAACACAAAACUAUUAAUGUAACCUUUUUUCUUUCCUUUUAACUUUCUCCUUCCUUUUAAAUUUUGAUUUCAUUUUCUUCUCUUUUGUCUCCCAAUUCAUUGACACUUGCUUUUCCUGGCCAUCUUUCUCUAUCUUAAAAAACUUGUAGGAUCGAUGGUUGCACCUGCGAUGACUGUGCUUCCAGAGAGGCAGUGCCAGGCAGUAAGGAUGUGGGAGAGGGUAAAGUCAGCGCAAAGGCCUCCAAGAAGGGCAGUCAGGUGAGAAGACAGAAAGAGAGGCUCACACAGAUGGUGAAAUGAGGCAGUUGUGCUAAACACUCACCCAAAAUUUCCUUUGGCCCCCACAGUUCUUGAAAAUCAUUUCAAAAAUCAUUUCCAGAAAAAUAAGGUCUUGUAGUGCUGCUGUCUUUGACUACUAAUCAAAGAACCAAGGUGGAGAGGUAGGGGCAAACUAGGGAGAGGAAGAUGCAAAAGAAAGAAAACGGAUCAUGAAUUUACCACACACAGAAUCAGGCAUUCCCAGGUCUGAGACCAUGAGUAGUUUCUCUCUAUGGCUGGGACCUGGGGCCUGGAACCUGACCUCAUGUUUCUGGCAUUUCAUAAUGAAAAGGUGAAGGAAGUACAAAGACUAAGACAACUUAUUGAUUUUUCCUCUUCCCUAUCUAGUUAUCUUUCUGUUUACCUCCUG
This 1137-nucleotide long non-coding RNA is filed under the name Callithrix jacchus (white-tufted-ear marmoset). RNAcentral describes it as "lncRNA (ENSCJAG00000075015.1)". The record is from RNAcentral. Lineage: Eukaryota; Metazoa; Chordata; Mammalia; Primates; Cebidae.